Non-coding RNA from Acanthosepion pharaonis, 113 nucleotides. Lineage: Eukaryota; Metazoa; Mollusca; Cephalopoda; Sepiida; Sepiidae. The record is from the annotation of a GenBank genome assembly.
UAUGGCCAUAUCACAUUUAAACACCAGUUCUUGUGCGAUCACUAAAGUUAAGUAAUGUUGAGCCUGGUCAGCACCAAGAUGGGUGACUACUUGGGAAUACCAGUUGUUGUAAU